This 236-nucleotide ribosomal RNA is filed under the name uncultured bacterium. RNAcentral describes it as "partial 16S ribosomal RNA". It matches the Rfam family "Bacterial small subunit ribosomal RNA", at positions 15 to 233 of the family's 1533-position model. The record is from RNAcentral.
GAUCCUGGCUCAGGAUGAACGCUGGCGGCGUGCCUAACACAUGCAAGUCGAGCGAAGCGAUUUAGCGGAAGUUUUCGGAUGGAAGUUAAAUUGACUGAGCGGCGGACGGGUGAGUAACGCGUGGGUAACCUGCCUCAUACAGGGGGAUAACAGUUAGAAAUGACUGCUAAUACCGCAUAAGCGCACAGCAUCGCAUGAUGCCGUGUGAAAAACUCCGGUGGUAUGAGAUGGACCCG